UCUUUAGUUGCUACCAUUUAGUUGAGCACUCUAAAGAGACUGCCGGUGAUAAGCCGCGAGGAAGGUGGGGAUGACGUCAAGUCCUCAUGGCCCUUACGGGCUGGGCUACACACGUGCUACAGUGGCGGUGACAGAGGGACGCAAAGGCGCAAGCCUUCGCAAAUCUCAAAAAGCCGUCUCAGUUCGGAUUGGGCUCUGCAACUCGAGCCCAUGAAGUUGGAAUCGCUAGUAAUCGCAGAUCAGCAUGCUGCGGUGAAUACGUUCCCGGGCCUUGUACACACCGCCCGUCACACCAUGGGAGUUGGCUUUACCUGAAGGCGGUGCGCUAACCAGCAAUGGAGGCAGCCGACCACGGUAGGGUCAGCGACUGGGGUGAAGUCGUAACAAGGUAGCCGUA
Molecule: ribosomal RNA, 397 nt
Filed under: uncultured bacterium
Lineage: Bacteria
Description: bacterial SSU rRNA
Rfam family: Bacterial small subunit ribosomal RNA
Source: RNAcentral